This 252-nucleotide ribosomal RNA is filed under the name uncultured bacterium. Its description in RNAcentral is "partial 16S ribosomal RNA". It matches the Rfam family "Bacterial small subunit ribosomal RNA", at positions 524 to 776 of the family's 1533-position model. The record is from RNAcentral.
UACGGAGGAUGCGAGCGUUAUCCGGAUUUAUUGGGUUUAAAGGGUGCGUAGGCGGACGCUUAAGUCAGCGGUAAAAUUGCGGGGCUCAACCUCGUCGAGCCGUUGAAACUGGGUGCCUUGAGUGGGCGAGAAGCACGCGGAAUGCGUGGUGUAGCGGUGAAAUGCAUAGAUAUCACGCAGAACUCCGAUUGCGAAGGCAGCGUACCGGCGCCCAACUGACGCUGAAGCACGAAGGCGUGGGUAUCGAACAGG